This 240-nucleotide ribosomal RNA is filed under the name uncultured bacterium. Its description in RNAcentral is "partial 16S ribosomal RNA". It matches the Rfam family "Bacterial small subunit ribosomal RNA", at positions 554 to 793 of the family's 1533-position model. The record is from RNAcentral.
UUGGGCGUAAAGAGAGUGCAGGCGGUUUUCUAAGUCUGAUGUGAAAGCCUUCGGCUUAACCGGAGAAGUGCAUCGGAAACUGGAUAACUUGAGUGCAGAAGAGGGUAGUGGAACUCCAUGUGUAGCGGUGGAAUGCGUAGAUAUAUGGAAGAACACCAGUGGCGAGGGCGGCUACCUGGUCUGCAACUGACGCUGAGACUCGAAAGCAUGGGUAGCGAACAGGAUUAGAUACCCUGGUAG